Molecule: RNA transcript, 8936 nt
Organism: Manis pentadactyla (Chinese pangolin)
Lineage: Eukaryota; Metazoa; Chordata; Mammalia; Pholidota; Manidae
Gene name: basic salivary proline-rich protein 1-like
Exons: 3
Source: RefSeq, a predicted model, not a curated record
ACCGGCUUCCUCCUCCCAGCUAGGUUGGAUCAUCAGAGAGAGAGGACAAGAGAGAGUUUGAAGGGGUGCUAAGAGCUUAGGGGGAUGAUUUUUAGGGGGCAAACCGUCCAGAAUGAUUCCUGGGCAGGCAGGCCCCAGGGGGCUGGAGGAACCUGAGGCGUGAAAGUACCAAAGUGCCAGGGAAAAAGGUUCUUGGGAACUCCUGUAUCACUGCCUGACACAAAAACUGCCAACAGGAAGUGAUGAGAAACUAGGGGCUGAGGACACACUCAGGGUGACUUUAUAACUUCCGGUGUCCCUGUCACCUGGUUAGAAGCCCAAAACUUUGGUUGUCCUCGAGUGGAGACUUCACUGAGGGAACACAUACACAACACACAGUCCAACGGGAAACACAACAAUGCUCAGAAAUCUCCCCUAAACUUGUUCACUUCCAACAGAGGAGGCCUCCCCAGUCAGUGGGAGGUGCAGAUCCAACCUGCUUCCUUUUAUUGCAACUUCUACCCUUCUAGAAUUUCUCCUUCUCUGCAGGUCCAGGCCACAGAGACAUUAAUCCCUAUUCAAAUGAACCUUCAAGGUUCUUCCUCCAUUAGAAAAAAAAGUCUCUCUAAACACCCCAAAGCAGCAGCUCUCAUGUCACCAGUGUGCAUUCACCAGGGGGGGAGGGAGAGGGCUCUGGGCCUCACCUGGCCCCUCUGUUGUUCGAAGGCAGAAAUGCGACCCUUCCUUCCCGCCUCUGCCCUGCUCCCGCUCCCUCCAACAGCUUUAAUAAACAGUGAUUAUUUCAGCCUUAGAGCACAGCUGUCCUGUGAAUUGUCCAGUCAGAGCUACAGGGUGGGAGUCAGGGCUGCAGCAAGGAGCUCAGAUCUCCAAAUAAACCUGCCCUCCUUUUGCCUUCUCUGCCUGCCUGCUCCCUAGCAGCUGGGAGUUGAGGAGGAGGGUGCGUCUCUGGCCCAGCAGAGAUGACAGAGGCAUUUUCUGAGCAGCCUGCUGAGGGCAGAGCCCCAAUGGGGGAGGGGAGGGGGCAGAGUGUGCAGACAGGGUUGGAGGUGGGCUUGCCCUACCUACCUGUCAGGAAUUCAGGCCUCUCCCAAACAAACCCUCCUUCAUCCAAAUCAAGGAGCUCUGAAAUUGCACCCCUGGGGAUUAGCCUCAGGCUGCCUUUCUGGUUAAAAUGUGCUGGCAUAUUACUUGAGGAAAGAAAUAGACUGUUAGUCAAUUUGUCAUCUAUAGGAGGUACCUGGGAAAUGUUGGUUGGAGGGAGGGAUGAAUGAGUGAAUGAAUGAAUGGCACUCUGGGCUACUAUUGGAAAUAGUGGUAGAAGGGGAGGAAAGCUCUGGGUGCUUCAAGCGAAGUGGGUAGGGAUGUCACUGAGCAGUUCGGGAGGAGAAAGGGGUACAAGUCAAAUUGUGCCACAUCACAGCUGUGCACUGAGCCAGCCAGGGCAGCAUGGGCCCUGCCCUUAAAGAGCGUGUAACUGCCCUUUGUGUGGCUCCUGCUAAAUCCUCCUCCAAGCAGGUGGGACAACAGUCCACUGAGGAUGUGACACUCAGAACUGUUAUAGCUGAACUUCAGAGAUCAUCUACUCAAAGGCUCCCUGAAUAUUUUUUUUCAGUGGCAGAAGCCUUCACAAAUAACACUGUGCAAAAACAGACCCACACAGAGCUGUUCUGCUUGAAUCCGCAUGGUGAAUCCUUCUGGAGAAUACCAGUCUACUCCAGCUCCUCAUUUCAAGUAAGGAAACUGAGGCCCAGAGAGAUCAACCUGUGUUCUCAGACUUCAUCACAACCACCUUCAGGCCCCCAGUCUCCUGUGGGAUUCUACUUCUUGGGUAGGGCCCAGGUACCUGUAAGUUUUUAAAAGGUUUCAUAGGUGAUUAAGACUUGUAGUUGGUUUAGGAGCGGUUGGAUUAAGCACCAGUUUGAAGGUGAAGAUUAAAUUAUAGCAGAGACUGAUUCAAGUUGCUCUUGGGAUCAUAAAGGCCAAAGCCUAGGACAAUGACCCCCAAAAAGCUAUCGGAACUAAUUUCUGGUACUGAAGUUUGCUUAGUUUGAACACGAUGCCGCAGAAUGGCCACUGACCAGGCCUUCAGCAUGUUCUGGUGAAAGGGUAAAUGUCCUUAAUCUUUGGCGGUCUUUCAAGCUAGAUGAGUUCCCUUGUACCACUCAAAUUUAUCUUUGUUAAGGGUGUUACCCUAGUCAGUCCCACAGAUAUAAAAAUGGGAUAAAAUUAUUUCAUCAUGGAGCUGAAACACUAGUGUGAAAUGGAGGACCCGGCAACACCAAACGAUCUUGGAUGAGUCAAUGAUCUUGCCAGCAGCUCAAGACACCAACAAGAAAGGGAUAAGGUAGCCUGGCAUUGCCCAGCUGACUCCUGGUUUGGAUGUCAGGACUCCCCAACAGCUUUCUUUGUAGUGUCCAAGAGGUCAUGUAAUAGAGUUAAAAGGUCAGGAUGUUAGUCAAGUCUUCACUCACAGCCCCAAACAUUGAACAACUUGCCCACUUACUGUCAGAUUCAUUUCCCUUUAGGUCAGUAUCUUCCCUCCCCAGGGCCUGGAUUUCUAUGGGCAUUUGCAGCUGGGUAGAGUGGGGCUAAGGAAGUGGGUUCCCCUUGCCAGCUCUCUGGAGCAUUUGAGUCCUCCUCAGGAAAGCAGAAUGAGCCCUGUGUCACCCCAUGGAACCCUGUACUGUCCUACAGAAACAAUAGGGAAAACCCACUGAGUGAUCUGGGACAUGCAGAGGCUAUGCAGAAUGAUCAGAAAGUCAAAAUGGCUCUCACUAUAGGUAUGGGAAGCAAAAACUGAGCUGAUUCCAGAAUAUUUCCUGGGUGUUGCUUUCUUGAGGAUAUAAACCUUUAGAAAAUAGGAUAGGUAAGAUAAAAAGGCAGAUAUUAUCAACAAGUGUUGGCAAAGAUGUAAGAAGUUGGCAGCUUCAUACACUGCUAGUGGGAAUGUAAAACUGUGCAGCCACUGUGAAAAACAGUCUAGCAGUUUUCCAAAAGAUAAAACACAGAGUUACUGUGUGACCCAGCAAUUCCACAUCUAGGUAUAUAGCCAAGAGAAAUGCUAACCCACACCCACACACAAACUUGCACACGGAUGUUCAUAGCAGCAUUAUUUACAACAGCCAAACACGGAAGCAACCCAAACACCCACCAGCAGAUGAAUGUGUAAAUAACAUGUGGUGUAUCAUACAAGGAAUGCUAUUUAGAAAUAAAAAGGAAUGAAGUACUGGUACAUGCUACAAAGUGGACAAAUCCUGAAAACAUUAUGCUAAAUGAAAGAAGCCAGUCAAAAAGGCCACAUAUGAUGGAAUUCUACUGAUAUGCAGCGUCCAGAAUAAGUAACCCCAUAUAGGGACAGAAAGUAGAUUCUUGGCCAGCUAGGACUGGGAAGUUUGGGGGAAGUAUGGAAUGGCUGUUUAUGGGUAUGAGGCUGUUUUUGGUGUAAUGAAAAUAUUCUAAAGUUGAUUGUGGUGAUGUUUGCACAACUUUGUAAAUAAAUAUACUAAAAACCACUGAAUUGUACACUUUAAAUGGGUAUAUUAUGUGGCAUAUGAAUUACAUCUGAAUAAAGCCAUUAUUUAAAAAAAAAAGAAAACUUUAUAAAAGUUCCUAUUAUUUGGGUUCUGCUUAAUAAAGGCAUCUUCUGCUAGACUUCCCUGGGGCUUAUGGAAGGCAAGCGUCAACAGGAACUGGGGUCACUGUCACCCCUCUAGCGGCCUUUCCCAGUAGCUUCACAAAGACCAAUGCACUAACCUGUUAUCUCCAGAAACAACAGAAUUGUCAGCUAGAAUACAUAGCCAAAAAAGCAAGAGCUCUGGGUGUAUGUGUACAAAUAUAUGUGUGUGUAGGCAAGGCAGGUUUUUCCUGAAGAUCAAGUUCAGUUCUAUGAUAUCACUGGGGAGGGUCAUAUGUACCUUUGCUUCCGGUUUGUAUCUAAUUUGGAAAAGCCAACACAGGUCAUGUACUCUAAUUGUGUAUUUGGUGAUUUUUCCAGUUCAAAGACCUGGUGCCACUCCACUCCUUUUGUUCAGAGGAUGGGCUCACUCCUUGACUGCUGAAGAACACCCUGCCCAGGUUCCUGCCAUGGGAUGGGCAGGCUUCAGACGCAAGCCAGGGGCCGCCACUGGGGAAGAGCUCUUAACCCACAGAGGAAGAUCCCUUCUCAUGGGCUGGCCUAGUGCACGAGGGGAGGGGUGCAGGAGUGAGGAGGAGAGGGAAGGGGGCCCCUGCACGCUGGUUCCCUUCCAAACAAGGCCCUGAUGGAGGGAGCCUCCCAAAUGGAACAAAUGGGAGCAGAGCAGAAGAGAGCAUAUAUACCUCUUUUCCUAAACACGAUUCGAGAUAUACAGAGGGAAAGUUAAAUUACGCUGCAAUUUUGAAAGUCAUCCACUGAAGAUAAACUCUCCCUUCAAAGAAAUUACUCAUCUCUCUCCAUCAGUGGUACCUCAGGGUCUAACAGUAUUCAAAUUUAUUAAGCAAUGACAUGCAGAAUGUAUUCUAUAAAGGGCCCAUUUCAUCACCCCUUUCCCUAAGCUACUUUUUCUUCCCGCAAAGUCACAAGAAGUCCAGUAAGUUCAAAAUCAAAACAAAGCCUAACAAGUGCAUGUGUGUGUGUGUACACACACACACACAAACACACACAGAUGGAAAAAAAAAAGUCCUUCGUAGAAGUUACCAUGAGACAGGCAGCUUCAGAAGGGAAAAACAAUCUCUGACUAAUACGAAGGAGACUCCAAAUUGCUCUUGGCAACAAUCUCUCAACCCCAGAUUCUCCUCCCUCUAUUCAUCUCCACAGUUCCCAGCCAAAGGAAAAGAAACUGAAUAGCUCUCUCCCUGGCCCAACCUGCAGUGCUGCAUGGCUGAGCAAGGGCUGAGCAAACAAACAUCCCCACGCAAUGAUAGCCCUGUGCAAUUGCUGCAAACACAGGCUAGCCAGUUGGGAGAUAGCAGGCUGAUCAUCUCCAUAUUAGAAGGAGAUUGCCUUUAUUCUGGCACCAUAGCAUCAAAACAGAAUGUAAUAUGAUCUUGUGACCUCAAACCCAAGAGAUAUUUAAAAAAAAAAAAAAAAAAGAGGAAGAAGGAAAAAGUGUCCUCCCCAGAAGAGUUGGUACCAUUUCUGAAGAAGGAAGGCCCAGAGCAUCACUCAGAUGGUUUUACCUUCAAGGCAAGAUUUAUCAGUUCACCUUCCUCACAAAAGUGAUAGUUAAUUUUAGAGGUAGGUAUCUUAUACCUAUUAUACUAUUCAAGAUGAAAGGAAUGUUAAUAGACCAAAUGUCCCAGAAUAUUUAUGGCUGCUCUGUCUCAAAGAUCUAUCUAACACUAUUUUAUUAGGACAGACUUGCCAGGUCAGCUAAAACGGAGAUGGACAGGAGCAUGGGGAAAUGGUAUUAUAAGUGGAGAUAUAAGCCACAGAGCAGUUGAGCCCUGAAAUGCCCCAGCAGGCUGGUGUGAGCUGCUCUGAGAACUAUGGAUGGCCACCAGACCUAGGUUCUAGUCCUGGCUUUGCUACCAAGUCCUGUGAGCACAGACAAGCUUCCCCAGCAGCAGGAUGUGGGCUUGGAGCUGCAGCUCCAACCCUGCAAGUAUGCAAAAUGCUAUCCCGGCCACUGGGUGACAACGUGAUGCAUCAGAAGGGUGAUGUCUGGGGCAGUUCUCAGUCUGGUUGGCCCUGCUUCCAGAGAGGGGCCAGACCUCUCGGAGGCUGCAUGGGGCUCUUGUCAUCUCUAGCUGGGAUGUGCCAAAACCAAAGGUUCAUCGUGAAACCCGCAAUCAUAAACCAAUAAUCUGAACAGCACUGACUCAAACAGCUACCUGGGCACUGUGUGCACUCCACAGUGCCCCCUUGAGUCUGGGAUGAGUCAGAAUGAGUCCAGCUUCCCACCCCUUCUUCUCAUCCAGGCCUCCUGCUGCUUCUCCUUCCACAGGGCUGUGCUUCUGUAGCACUUUCCACAUACUGCCUCAUUUCAUCCACUCAGUACCCGUUGAAGGAUAGACCAUUACUGUUACUAUUCCCCAUGGCCAAGGACCAGGUCAGACUUCACUUACUGAUGAAUGCCCUGCACUUUAGCAGAGUGUCUGGAAUCACACAUUAGAAAAUACAAUCAUUGUUAUUGUAUUUAUUGAACAAAUUAUUGAUUGACUGAAUGGAAAGAAACUGAAGUUCAAAAGGCUAAUAUUGUGUGUGACACACACUAUUGUGUGUUGUACUAUAAUUAUACCAGGGUUAUUCCUGUCUCCCUAAUCAAACGUAAGAUUCUGAAAGAUAUAUGUAGUAUAAUGGGCAGCUUCGACUCCUGGCUCUGUCGCUAAGAAGCUGGGCAGCAUAUUUAACUCUUUUGAGACUCAGUUUCUUCAUCCUCAAAGGGGGGCUAGUGAUUCAUACCUGACAGGUUGUGUAAGUUAGAGGAGACACUCUGCCAAGCACCGUGCCUGGCACACGGUAGAUAUCUCUGUACGUCCCGUAUCUUUCCUCUCUUUGGAUUAUCUCCCAGCACUGGCUCCGCAGGAUAUGCCUAAAGUUCUGCGACCUCCAGGCCUUUGCUAUUUUGGCCUUCCUCCUUCAAGGUCCUGCCCCAAUUCCAUUUCCUGUCUGUAGCCUUCCUUGGCUCUCCCAGCAGUCUUGUCAUGGACAUCCUACUUGCUACCUAGGUUUUGCUUAUUCUGUGCACACCUCAUCUGUCUAUGCUGGAUGCCUCUGGGUGGUGGUUCAGGCCUGAGUCCUGCUCUGCCUCACCUGGCAGGGCUCAGAAGGUGGGAUCCAAAUCUACCAAUUUCAUGAAAUUCUGGAACCCAAGCAGGUGGCCUCAGGGACUGUGUGGCCUUGGUGUCCAGUGGUUCUGGGUCAAGGGCUCUGGACUCACCUGGACUCCUGGGCUUCAGCACCUCACCUAUGAACUGGGGCUGAUGAGGACAGUGGUGGCUGCCCUUGUGUGUCUUUAGUGCGGUAAUUUGGGAGAGCUCAGAAAUGAGUACUAACACCCAGCCUGGAGAGAGAGCCCAGGCUGAAGCAAGUCCUUCUGGGGACGGAGGACUGGACCGGGUAAGCUACCAGUCUGCCAAUGAAUCUCAAGAAUGGGGCUUCCUCCUGUGCAAAGCCCAGUACCAGGGGUUAAAAGAAAGAGGGCAGCUAUCCCCUGCCCACCCACAGCCAGGACACCAGAAGCCAGAAACUGGGACAAUCGAACCGGAGGCCCCCGGAGCCCUCACCACCGGCGGGCUGAACCUGCACCGCCACUCGGGGAUCAGCGCGGGCACGGCCGCCGGCCGAGGGCAAUGAGAAACCGAGGAGAGUCGCUUCAUGCAGAGUUCCAAUUCUUCCCUGCAUUUCGCUGAGUGGCAGCGGCGCGCGCCUCUCCACGAGCUCAGGGGCUCCGGGCCGGGUUUCCCCGGCACGCUCGGCUGCAGCCCAAGCGCGGGUUUGAAAUUUCUUGCAGACGCCGCCACUCACUCCCGGCGAGCGCCAGUCGGAGCCGCCGCCCCGGGCCAGAGGGUCCUCGCUGCGCGAAGCACGAAAGCCUGCAGUGCCCGGGGUGGGGACGCAGCCGGCCCCGCAGGCUCUCCCCGACGCCGGGCAGGGCUUCCUCCCCACCCCCUCUCCACUGCCCGGCCGCCUCGCUUCCCGGAGCCCCGAUCACUGCCCGCUCCGGCCAGGCCGCCGCAGACCCACCUGGCCGCCCCGGGGACGCCGCUCUCGUGCCCGCGCCGUGUCCUGAGCGCCUCCAGGGUCCCGGGCUGGGAAUCCACGCGGCAGCGCUGCUCAGGGGAGCCUGCCGCAGCGGGCGGGAGGUUGUCAUUGAUUCGUGCUGGGCGAGUUAAGCCAUUCCAGGAGUGGUUUUGGGAGAGCACUCCCACCCCUCCCUGCAACCAGAAGUAUUUGGCAGGCAGCCCCUUUCGUCCACCUGUACUGUUAAGCGCGGGGCAACGACCAAUUUCAGCAAUUGCGCUUUAUACCUCACCUUAAAACAAGCAAAUCAAGCACUUUCGUAAAGGUAAAAGCAGAAAUGAAAGCAAGGGUGGUGGUGGAGAAUUCUCCCCGCUUUGCUCCUGGGUCUCGGUUUAUUUAUUUAUUUUCUCUAAUAGUUCCCAAAAUGCCUUACCACUUAUCUCAAAUCAGGGGCGCUUUUUAUUAUUAUUGUUUUAUUCAAUUCUGCAUAUCUUUUAUUUUUAGAGGCAAUUUUAUUUCCAUUUGCCUGAAACCUGAGCCCAAUAAAAUUGCUAGAAUUACAUGUUUUCUCCUUAAAGGGUCGUGAGUGUAACUUAACCAAAUGGAACAUUGCAAGCAUUCAAGUGGCAAAUAAAAAAAAGGGAAGUGCAGGAGGGAAGCCCAGAACUUUGGCUCCCUCCACCGGGUGGCCCAGCUGGGCUUUACCGCGGUGGAGUCCUGAGGCCUGGGGUGGGGGCACCCACUGCCACUCAGCGCCCACAGCAAGCACACAGAUCAUCCAGGUGCUCCUUUGCUUCGCCUCCCUUCUAAGACUGACUCAGAAAUGUCAACCAGAAAUCCAACAUUUGGGGUGGGCCAACCACCAAUCACAGAGAGGCGUGGCCAGAGCACCCUCUCCCAGGCUGUUCCUUAAAGCCACACACCACACCCUUUUUUUGAAAAGUGCCAGCUGGGGGUCUUAGGCCGCUGUCAGCCCUCUUUCCUCUGGAACUGUCCUUCACCUGGGGGAAGCCAUUAUUAACUCCUUGGUACCUAGGCUGGCUCUUCUUAGAAAUGAGGAAAGGUCUGGAGAAGUCCUUCCCUGGGGAUCAGCUGCCCAGUCCACCAUGGAAAAUCAGCACAAAGAAAUGAGAUGGUGAGAGGCCUCUGGCACUCCUCCAGGGGCAGGCCACGAACCUUAAAGCACCCCAAAGGCAAAUCCCAAGGUCCAUUAGUCCAUGAAGGCCAAGAAUGGGGCUGGGAUUUGCUAAACCCCAGGAAGAUAGUUCAGACU